Molecule: long non-coding RNA, 242 nt
Filed under: Nicotiana benthamiana
Lineage: Eukaryota; Viridiplantae; Streptophyta; Magnoliopsida; Solanales; Solanaceae
Description: long non-coding RNA (NBEN_LNC011578)
Source: RNAcentral
AUGUGGACGAAGUUGGGGUUGGAAUAUUUGGCCUAGCAUGCUCUAACGCCUGUUUAUAAGCAUUAUAAACAGUUUGAGCAUUCACUUUAAUUGAUGUUUGCGCAUCAGAUAGUGUAGCCAUUUCUUCUUCAUCAAGAUAUAAAGCUUGAUAAAUACUAGAAUACCAAAAGUGAGGUCCUCCAAAUUUCAUAGUAGGAUUUAGCAUACCAGACACACCAUAUAUAGGAGGGAUUGGAAAAAAA